GCCAGGACAGCCUGAGGCAGCAAUGCGCCCAAGUCAUAGCUGAGUCCCAGUCAAAGCUACAGCACAUGAGCCUGCCAUCGACGGAACUAAUGCGGUAAGUCUGGUAACUGGCCAACCCCGCCCCCCACCCGACCACGCGGUCGCGGGGAAGUGGAUGCUCAGGGCUGCCGCACUGCAUGGGAAGUUAACCCCCCCACAAACGCCGCGGGAGCAGUUAUACCGCGAGCAGAAGUGUGGGUCGGGUGGGGGGUGGAAGCAGAGGAUCUCGCUCGGCGGACGGAGCCAGCAGGCAGGAUCCAACACGUGGGACUGCCGGAGUCUUACUCCGGGGUCCCGGCGGUCGGCAACUGAAAGCGGUCGGAGAGCCGCUUUCUGGCAGCCGCAAAACAGACGAAAAGUGAAAGGGCAAAGCCACCCGGAAGAGAUAGAGGGAGGGAGGGGACCGAGAAAAAAACCCGAGAAAAAAACCAUCCCCAGACAGGGGGGCCCAAAACAGGAAAAUGCAGAAAAGUCAUAAGAGAAAAUACAUCCAUACAUACAGCAAAAAAGUAGGGACAGAAAAAUGCAAUCUAAAUAAAUCAUAACGGCAGUAGGAAGGUAAACACAUUCUAAACAAAUAAAUCCCUGCAGCCAUAAGAAGGUAGAUGCAGAAAAACAGAGUAAAUCAAUCAAUCAAGCAAUCACUACAGCACUAAGCAGGUAGGUGUAGAAAUACAGAAAAUUUUAUCAUACUUACCGUAAUUUUCUUUUCCUGGCUAUUAUUCAUGGCAGCAUCACUUAUGGGUAGCUCCGCCCUAAUCAGGAACAGGACAGGAUAAAAUCAAUUAAUAUGGACCAGACUGGGUAUAAAAGGUCCCUCCUCCUUCUAUCCCACAGUCUAGUUCCAAAGCUAAAUCUGAUAACCAGGGGGGGUUGCUGAUGCUGCCAUGAAUAAUAGCCAGGAAAAGAAAAUUACGGCAAGUAUGAUAAAAUUUUCUGUAUUCCUGGCUAAUCAUGGCAGCAUCACUUAUGGGUAAUACCCAAGCUUCACCAUAGGGUGGGAAAUUCAAAAACAAAAAACUCCAAACCAUAUAAUGCUGAAAAAAGGUUUAAUUUAGAUAGAUUCCACAGAGGACAGAACACCUCUACCAAAAGCCGUAGAGGAAGAUGCCAAAUCCAUCUUGUAAUGUUUGAAGAAAGUGAGAGGAGAAGACCAUGUAGCUGCCUUACAGAUGUCGUCAGAUGGAACCUCUGCCCAAUUAGCCCAUGAAGUUGCUAAAGCCCUUGUAGAGUGUGACUUGAUCCUACUAGGAGGGACAAGGUCUUUCAACUGAUAAGCCUUGAUUAUAGUAUUGGAGAUCCAACGUCUCAAAGUGGAAGUAGAUGCUGCCUCCCCUCUUCUGGGACCAAUCGGCAAAACAAACAGCUGUUGAGACUUCCGAAAAUGAGUAGAAACCUCUAAAUACUUGAGUAGGCACUGCCUGACAUCCAAUUGAUGAAGUUUCACUUCUUCUGGAGUGGAAGGAGAUGGAUAAAAGGAAGGAAUAACAAUCUCUUGUAAGAUGUGGAAAUUUGAGACAACUUUCGGCAGAAACUCUUGUCUGGGUCUCAAGAUCACCCUGUCGUGGAAUACUUGAAAGUGAUUUUCAUCGCAGGAAAGAGCAUGAAUUUCUGACAUACGCUUUGCAGUAGUAACAGCCACCAGAAACAAGGUCUUAUAUGUUAAUAAGACAAUACCCAGCUCAUCUAAUGGAGCAAAGGGGUUUUCAGCCAACACCUCCAGUACCAUAGGUAAAUUCCACGGAGGAGAGUAGUUCCUAUUUGGAGGUCUUAUACGGAUGGUUGCUUUAAAGAAUCUAGCAAUUAGAGGAUCCGAAGUCCAAGACUUGUUGCAGAGAGCAGAUAAAGCCGAUGAUUGGACUUUUAGAGUACUGAGACUCAGCCCUUUCUCUAGACCUGUAUGAAGAAAUUGCAGAAUGUUAAUGUUAGAUGGCUGAAGAAAAUCCACAUUAUUCUCUAGAGACCAGGAACGAAAAACUUCCCAAAUCUUAUGAUAGCAGGAAGAAGUAGAUGCUUUUCUGGAUUUUAGGAGAGUAGUUACCACAGUUUCUGGGAUCCCUUGAGCUAGCAAUCUCUCCUUUUCAAGAGCCAUGCCCCCAAUUUCAGCUGGCUGGGGUUGGGAUGAACAGCUGGUCCCUGGAUUAAGAUGUUUGGUCUGACAGGAAGAGGCCAAGGAGGUUCCAGGCUCAUCUUGUUCAGCAGGGGAAACCAAGGUCUGCGAGGCCAGAUUGGGAUGAUGGCGAUGACUUUGAGACCUUCCUUCCAUAUUUUUCUCAGCAGUCGGUAAAUCAUUGGUAGGGGAGGGAAUGCGUACCCCAGAUCGAAUUCCCAUGGAAGAGACAGGGCAUCCUGUCCUUCUGCUCGAUGAUCCGCAUGUAGGGAGUAAAACCUCUUCACCUGAGUGUUGUUGUAUGAAGCCAUCAGGUCGAUCUGGGGUACUCCCCACCGAUGGGUGAUCAAUUGAAAUAAGUCUGGGUGCAGUUUCCAUUCUCCUUGGAGAAUCCUUGUCCUGCUGAGAUAGUCUGCCAAUAAAUUCUCUGACCCUGGAAGAUAAACCGCUUUUAAUCCUUGAAGAUGUAGUUGCGCAAACCUCAUUAUUGGUGACAAUUCUAUCAGUAGAGAAUAACUUCGAGUUCCUGCCUGAUGAUUUAUGUAGGAAGCCACAGCUCUGUUGUCUGUAUGUAUCCUGACCCAGGCAUCCCUUAAUAGAGGACGGAACCCUAUUAAUGCCUUGAGAACCGCUCUCAUUUCUCUCAAAUUCGAAUGGAGUUUUGACUCCUUCCAUGACCAAGUUCCUUGGAUCCAAGAGUUGUUCAGAUGUGCUCCCCAUCCCAGAAGGCUGGCAUCUGUAGUUACAGUAAUCCAGUCCGGCUCUUCCAGGGGAAAACCACAAAGGAGGUGUUUUUCUUUUGUCCACCAAUAUAGUUCUUUCGAAAUUCUCGGGAGUAACCAAAUCUUCUGAUCCCAAUUUCCUUGUUUUGCUCUGAACUGUAAGAGAAAAUGCCUCUGAAUGGGUCGCAUCCUCCACUGGGCCCAUUUCACUAGGCCUAUCGUGGAAGUAAGAGACCCUAACAGGCUCAUGAAAUCUCUUGCCGUGAUGAAAGAUUUUUGACGCAGACUUCUGAUCUUCUUCAUUAUUCGUUGUUUUCUGUCUGUAGACAGUGAUACCAGGCCAUUCCCUGAGUCUAUAUUUGCUCCUAGGAAAAUCAUCCUUUGAGAAGGCACUAAAGAACUCUUUUUGGGGUUUAUCAGCCAACCAUGAUCUUGAAGGUAUUUUAUGGUUAUAGACGUGUGGACAUUCACUAUCUGACUGGAAGGACCUAAGAUCAGAAAAUCGUCCAGAUAAUGAAAAAUCUCGAUGUUCCUUGUCCUUAUAAAGGCCACCAGAGACACUAGAAUCUUCGUGAAUGUUCUGGGCGCCAGACUUAAGCCGAAAGGAAGUCCCUUGAACUGAUAGUGAUUCCCCGCAAUCCAAAACCUUAGAAACCGGCGAUGACUGACAUGAAUAGGAAUCUGAUAGUAGGCGUCCUUGAGAUCUAUAGAAGUCAUCCAGGUCCCUGUCUUUAUAUUGGGCAGAAUUGUGGCAAUGGACUCCAUUUUGAAAGUUCUUGGAACCAAAUAAGUAUUCAGAACUUUCAGGUCCAGAAUUAGACGCCAUUUCCCCUGAGGUUUUGGGGCCAAAAAUAUCGUAGAGUAGUGGCCUCUGUAAUGUUCUCUGUAAGGGACUUUUUCUAUGACCUGAUUUUGAAGAAGUUGAGAAAUAAUUUCGUUUAGAGCCAUUUCUUUUCUUCCUCUUGCCACUCUUGAACGGGUAAAGGAGGUUUGAGAAGGGAAUUCUUUGAAUUCUAUUUUGUAUCCUUCCUUGAGGAUAGAAAGAACCCAAGAGUCUUGAAUGCUUUUGGCCCAAACCGGAUAAAAGAAGCGAAGUCUGCCUCCUAUAACAUCUGGCUGGGCCAGCAAACGUUCAGAAGUUUUUAUUAGCUGGUCUAGAUCCUCUUCCUCUAACUGGUUUUGAUGAAGAUGACUGGUAGCUUCUCCAGUUAGAAUUCCUGGAGAAUUCUCUUCCGGGUCUAUAUGACCUGGCGUCUCGAAAGGAUCGGUCUCUAAACUUUUUAUCCUUCCAGUAGGAAGCAUUAAAUCUUCUUUUCCCCUGGGGGAGAAAGGCUUUUCUUCCAUCUGCCGCUUUAUGGAUCGCAUCUUCCAGGACUUUACCAAAUAGAAGGUCCCCUUGAAAAGGAAGCGCACAUAGGGAGGCCUUAGAGGCGUAAUCUGCACCCCAAGAGUGAAGCCAUAAUGCUCUUCUCGAAGCAACUGACAGUGCCAUACUUUUGGCUACCAUUUUAGUAAUAUCCAGGGAAGCUUCAGAACAGAAUUCUGUGGCCAGCUUUAAAUCUUUAAUGCCCUCCAUCAGGUGUUCUCUACGGACUCCACCAGCAAUAUCCUCUUCUAGAUUAUCAACCCAUAUUUUAAGAGCUCUGGACAAGGUGGUAAGAGCAAUGGCUGGAUGUAAUGCUGACCCUAGGGCCAAGUAUGCCUUAAUUAGGUCAGCGUCCAAUCGCUUUUCCAUUGGCUCCCUUAAAUAUGCCAUUGAAUCUAUGGGAAGAGUUGUUCUUUUUGCCAUGUGGAUGACUGCGGCAUCAAUUUUUGGAACCGAAAUCCAUGACUUGCAGUCCUCAGGUGCAUACGGGUAUAAUCUGGGGACUUUGCUCUUUAAAGUCACCUUCUUCUCUGGUCUAUUCCAUUCUUCACCUAUUACCUCCUUUAUGGCCGAAUGAACUGGAAAAGUAGGCCUGUUAGGCUUCAGAUCUUCAAAAUAUCUAUCAGACUCCUUCUUCUCCCUGCUUUCUUCAGGAAUUCUUAAUGUGUCUCUGAUAAGAUGAACCAACUUAUCCACAGACCUGGAAUAUAACGAUUUUGAGUCAUAGUCAUCCUCUUCUUCCUCUGAAUAGUCUUCCAUCAUAUCAGAUUCUUCUUCUGAUUCCACAUAGCUUUCCACUCUGGGACGCUUGGGGAUAGCCAUUUUACUAGAGGAUUUAAAUCCUUCAGCAAUGGCUUCUGAAAUCCAUUUCUUCAAGUCAGCCUGUGGGGAACUUUUCUCAUCCCAGUCCUUCGCUGCUUCCGUAAGGCAAGAUCUGCACAAAUUUUUUCCCGGAGGAGCCACUUGGUUGCAGUUUGCACAUCUGUUGGAUUUUUCUCUAUAUUUUCUGGGAGAAUCCUCUUGAGAUUUUUCUGGGCUGAAAUUAAAGGCCAAUAUAUUAUAUAUUAUAGGCCUGCAAUGGCACUCUUUUUUCCCCCCUUAAAUCAAAUUCGACAUAUGCGGCUCACCUAUGUCUUCUAGAGCGAGAUCUUGAGGCAGAGGGAGAAGCCAUCUAGAAUAAAAUAUGCUUAUUGUAAAAGAAACCUUCAAGCAGCAAGAAAGAUUCAAUAAUAUCCAAAAAAAAACUUAAGAUUUACCUUUAAACCAGAUUCUGAACAAAAAAGGCAGCUUUCCUUAUUAACAGAAGUUCAUAGAAGAAGCCAGGAUCAAUUUUGAGUGGUUUUUAAAUUUUUCAUUUUUUGGCGCGAUAUACCUUUAAGCGCGCAAUUAUUCCGCGCAUGCGCAGAACACCCGCCGGACGCCGUCGGUACUGCGCAUGCGCCAGAAGCCGAAGAGAGAAGAGACAGACCGGAGGAAGCCCCUGCACCAUGCUGAUAUCCAGGGAAGCUUCAGUUUACACAAAAGACAGAUGCAGGUAAGCCAGGCACUUGUAAGCUGUCAGAAUAAACUCCAGAAUUUAAAACAAAAUGAAAACCAACGAAAAUUUUAUCAGAAAUAAGCACUUACCCUAGGCUCUCCCAAUAACUGACCUCAGAUCAGGGGGGUUAGAUGCUAUAAGGGGAUUUUUAAGGUAACAGCCGACCCCACAUCCACAGUUGAAACUUUUUCUCCCAUAAUAGUACAGAUGCUAAUCUGUACUAAACUCAGUUAGUCCUGCCCGUGCAGGCUGUUUACUGAGUUCUUCAGAUGAAGAGAGGCUGAACUUCAUCUGGAGGCCCAUGGUACACAUGGGAAGGUGGCCCAAAAUAAAAUAUCCUGUGUGUCCUGAAAGGACAGGAAAAAAGACUGUGGGAUAGAAGGAGGAGGGACCUUUUAUACCCAGUCUGGUCCAUAUUAAUUGAUUUUAUCCUGUCCUGUUCCUGAUUAGGGCGGAGCUACCCAUAAGUGAUGCUGCCAUGAUUAGCCAGGAAAUACAGAUUAGCUAAAUAAAUCAAUCAAUC
Molecule: non-coding RNA, 6297 nt
Organism: Pelobates cultripes (western spadefoot toad)
Lineage: Eukaryota; Metazoa; Chordata; Amphibia; Anura; Pelobatidae
Source: the annotation of a GenBank genome assembly